This is a long non-coding RNA of Raphanus sativus (radish), 1123 nucleotides long. RefSeq lists it as uncharacterized. Lineage: Eukaryota; Viridiplantae; Streptophyta; Magnoliopsida; Brassicales; Brassicaceae. The record is from RefSeq and is a predicted model, not a curated record. The transcript is spliced from 3 exons.
GCUUUGCGGUGGGCUUCGUCCAGCGCUUCUUUUGCGGCCCGUCGACACAGUCUCCUAAUCAAAAGCUCUCCUUCGUGUUCUUCGAUUCUCUUCGAUCGUACGGGGACGAUCCAGAUUCUGUAACGGUAUGCGUUGUGAUUUCUUCGUCUUUAAUCCUAUUAAUUCGUAAGCCCACUCCGAAACCUUCAAUUGCGUUGUUCGUCGGUGAAAUCGGGUAUAAGUAUGUUAGUAUCUCUUCUCUGUAAAUCGCGAUCUCCACAUCUCUCUGCUGCUCAUCUAACUCAUAUUCAUCUCUCUUUAUGGCGAACUCGAAGAUAAUGCCAGUUUUUAUGGUUUAGUGUUUGGGAUUAUGUACCUGUUGUUGGUUAGAUCUUAAAAAGCUCGAAUCUUUACUGGUGUCUUUUUUUGUAUAUAUGAAACUCCUAAAUACGAGUCUUCACCACAGUGCUAAGUUUUGCAGUGCGUUGACACGCUUCGCACUGGUCUAGCCAUGGGCGCGGAUCGAGGAAUCCACGUUGAGGCCGAUUCUAGCUUCCUCCCUUUGACGAUUGCUAAGAUCUUGAGGGGCCUCGCUGAUGUCGAGUAUCCUGGAUAGAUUUUCCUCGGGAAAUAGAAAUCACCACCGCUUCUCAAACCUAACUCUGAAAGGAAAACCACAGAAUCUGAUGGGUGCCUUCUUUUCUAGGUCACGUUUGCGCAAGAAACGAAAAGUAGCUUUUCCAUGGAUAUGAUUCUUGACGUUAAGAAGCAAGUUCUGCAAAGUGAAUUCGUUAUCGUGUAGCUGUGCAGAUGAGCGACUGAAAGAGUCGAGGAACAUCAUUGCAAAAUAUCAAGAUAGAGUUCCCGUUAGUUAAAGUUCAUGCCUAGAUCAUUGUGUCGUGGUGAUUCGGUGUCGUGGUGAUUGGGUCUCAGCUGUCUUUUGCGGUCUCCUAGAAUUCAAAUGAUUAAUUACUCCAGUUUUGUUUCUGUGAUCUGAUUCACUUUGGUUAGUUUUUUAAGAGACUACCUCUUUUUCUUUCUUUCUUAGUUGUUAGAAUCAAAUAAAAAAAACUGUAAUUUCUGACUAUACAAUUUUAAGAAUUUGAAAAUAAAAUUAAUCCAAAUAAAAUGUGAUAUUUUUUUA